RNAcentral lists this ribosomal RNA (1530 nucleotides) under Shigella dysenteriae. RNAcentral's name for it is "bacterial SSU rRNA". It matches the Rfam family "Bacterial small subunit ribosomal RNA". The record is from RNAcentral. Lineage: Bacteria; Pseudomonadati; Pseudomonadota; Gammaproteobacteria; Enterobacterales; Enterobacteriaceae.
AGAGUUUGAUCAUGGCUCAGAUUGAACGCUGGCGGCAGGCCUAACACAUGCAAGUCGAACGGUAACAGGAAGCAGCUUGCUGCUUCGCUGACGAGUGGCGGACGGGUGAGUAAUGUCUGGGAAACUGCCUGAUGGAGGGGGAUAACUACUGGAAACGGUAGCUAAUACCGCAUAAUGUCGCAAGACCAAAGAGGGGGACCUUCGGGCCUCUUACCAUCGGAUGUGCCCAGAUGGGAUUAGCUUGUUGGUGGGGUAACGGCUCACCAAGGCGACGAUCCCUAGCUGGUCUGAGAGGAUGACCAGCCACACUGGAACUGAGACACGGUCCAGACUCCUACGGGAGGCAGCAGUGGGGAAUAUUGCACAAUGGGCGCAAGCCUGAUGCAGCCAUGCCGCGUGUAUGAAGAAGGCCUUCGGGUUGUAAAGUACUUUCAGCGGGGAGGAAGGGAGUAAAGUUAAUACCUUUGCUCAUUGACGUUAUCCGCAGAAGAAGCACCGGCUAACUCCGUGCCAGCAGCCGCGGUAAUACGGAGGGUGCAAGCGUUAAUCGGAAUUACUGGGCGUAAAGCGCACGCAGGCGGUUUGUUAAGUCAGAUGUGAAAUCCCCGGGCUCAACCUGGGAACUGCAUCUGAUACUGGCAAGCUUGAGUCUCGUAGAGGGGGGUAGAAUUCCAGGUGUAGCGGUGAAAUGCGUAGAGAUCUGGAGGAAUACCGGUGGCGAAGGCGGCCCCCUGGACGAAGACUGACGCUCAGGUGCGAAAGCGUGGGGAGCAAACAGGAUUAGAUACCCUGGUAGUCCACGCCGUAAACGAUGUCGACUUGGAGGUUGUGCCCUUGAGGCGUGGCUUCCGGAGCUAACGCGUUAAGUCGACCGCCUGGGGAGUACGGCCGCAAGGUUAAAACUCAAAUGAAUUGACGGGGGCCCGCACAAGCGGUGGAGCAUGUGGUUUAAUUCGAUGCAACGCGAAGAACCUUACCUGGUCUUGACAUCCACGGAAGUUUUCAGAGAUGAGAAUGUGCCUUCGGGAACCGUGAGACAGGUGCUGCAUGGCUGUCGUCAGCUCGUGUUGUGAAAUGUUGGGUUAAGUCCCGCAACGAGCGCAACCCUUAUCCUUUGUUGCCAGCGGUCCGGCCGGGAACUCAAAGGAGACUGCCAGUGAUAAACUGGAGGAAGGUGGGGAUGACGUCAAGUCAUCAUGGCCCUUACGACCAGGGCUACACACGUGCUACAAUGGCGCAUACAAAGAGAAGCGACCUCGCGAGAGCAAGCGGACCUCAUAAAGUGCGUCGUAGUCCGGAUUGGAGUCUGCAACUCGACUCCAUGAAGUCGGAAUCGCUAGUAAUCGUGGAUCAGAAUGCCACGGUGAAUACGUUCCCGGGCCUUGUACACACCGCCCGUCACACCAUGGGAGUGGGUUGCAAAAGAAGUAGGUAGCUUAACCUUUGGGAGGGCGCUUACCACUUUGUGAUUCAUGACUGGGGUGAAGUCGUAACAAGGUAACCGUAGGGGAACCUGCGGUUGGAUCACCU